CAGGUGUGUGGAAAGAGACUUUCAAUAACUCCUAUUUUCCUUGUAAGAGGAUCGACAGCAUGCACCCAAACAGUUUCUCUUGUCACAACACAGGUCAAAUGAUGUCAAGGUGACAUCCCUAGUUGUGGAAUUGACUGUGGGAAAAUGAGUACCUCAGCCCAGACUCCUGUGUUUCUGCCUCAUGGUUCUGCUCACUCGUCGGCCUUGAACUCUAAGCCCUGCCUAGGCCAGAAACACCAGCAAAGGGGCAAGGCAGAUUUCCUCAGUUUGCUGGCUUAUUAUGCUUUUGACUACACGCUGAAGUAACUGACAAGCAAAACGAUUUGUCAGACGGGGUCUUGUCCUGUUGUGCGGUGGGAGGGGGUCAGCGUAGCUUCCCCAGUGACCUACUUUCAGGAACAAAUGCAGAUUGUGCAGUUUCCAUUCAGGCAUAAAUUGAGGGAGGCCUGAGCAAAUGAGAGGUUCGGUGAAUGUAUCUUCCUAGCUUCUAAUCGCUAAUAUUCUAGCAUGAUAUAAGCCACACAUCAACCCAAAUAAGAUUCCUUAGAAGUCGGGGUUUCCUUUUGCAAAGCCUCAAGAAUCAAAUGAAGAACAAUACAGAUGACAAAUUAUAAGAUGGCAACUUUCCAUAAAAGUUGCAAAUUCUUAGAAAGUGAAGAAGUAAAUGGCAAAAGUAAAAACAAGCCUUAAACUGCAAUCUUUUUUCUGCUUAUGUAGGUGGAAGCUCCAUUAAACAAGCCUGAUUUUGAGUGACAUGACUACUAGACUGCCCUGCUAGUUACUUUAAGAUGAGAAGUGAGCAAAGGCAGCUUGAUACUUGAGUGUGAUCAAUAGGACAAGUUUUUUUUAUUUUGGUUUGGUUUUGGUUUUAAAUACCAAAGGGCUAUUUUCUUCCAUUUCUUAAUCCAAGUGGGAAAGGCUUCCCAUCUUCCAGUUAUUGUAGGCCUAUACCCUUCUUUUCCCUGACCACAAUAUGUUGGCAGAGACUAACAUCAUCCAGAAGACUUUUGUCAUAAUGGCUCAGUUUAUGUGACACAAUUGCCAACCUGAACAAAUGGCAUUUUAUUAUUUCCUUCUUAGCAGUUUUGUGAUGUUUUUGUUUCUUAUUCUGUUACUGUGGGAAAGAAUGUGAGGCAGGAAGAAAUGUGGAAGUUAAGUAGACCUGUUGGAAGGAUGGAACAGGGAAGCAACCUCGGAUUGCUUGGUAACAGGAAAAUAUUCCGCUUCACUAUCACUGACAGCCUCCCUCCGCAAUCAGCUUCAUAGCUGGACCUCUCAGAAAUGUUCACCAAACAGCUUGGGGAGCUUCACAUUAAAUCAGGCAAGUUGCCAGAUCGGAGACAGCCAACAGCUGUUUGGCAGGCGGAGGGAAGGAGGGGCUGCCAAGGUUUUGAGACAGUGGACUCGCCUGCCUUAUCACUCAGCUCCUUGUUUCAACUGAUGCAUGCUCCCGUUUAAUGUGCUCCAUAAAGUGGGCCAGAUGACCUGCCUGUCAGAACAGACCACCUCCCCAAGCCUCCUUCCUGUACCUACAUCACUGUUGUAAUUGGUGGCAGAUGGUUUCCCACUGGCUGGUGACAUUCCUAAUGAGGGAGGACAGCAAAACCAACAGCUUUGCUUGACGCCGUCCUUCACAUAUUAACUCAGGACCACCACCAUUUGGUGGCAAGCCAAAACAGCAACAAUGGGGACGGCACAUAUUAUGCUGGUAGUUUCCCCCCCCCAAAUCAAGAACAGGUUUGCAUUUUUACUCAGCAGCAGAAAUAGGCAAGCCCUUGGAGUCUGCUGCAAUGCACUGGAGGGAGAUGAUUUUCACAAUUACUUUGGAGCCCUAAAAGUUCUUGCUUCUUCUGGAGAACUAUAUUACCAAUUCCCCCACCUCACACCCAUUUUUCUACCUGUAGGUCAUCCUUUCAUGAAACAUCUGAAAAAUUACUGCUAGGAACACCACUCUUAAAAACCAGAUGGAGGACACCACUAGAAUCUUGAUUGGAAUGGAGAUGCCGACCUGACAUAAGCAUAUUUAAUUGAGAGC
Molecule: non-coding RNA, 2035 nt
Organism: Pantherophis guttatus
Lineage: Eukaryota; Metazoa; Chordata; Lepidosauria; Squamata; Colubridae
Source: RefSeq, a predicted model, not a curated record